This 73-nucleotide transfer RNA is filed under the name Saccoglossus kowalevskii. RNAcentral describes it as "tRNA-Val". It matches the Rfam family "tRNA". Rfam says of the family: Transfer RNA (tRNA) molecules are approximately 80 nucleotides in length. Their secondary structure includes four short double-helical elements and three loops (D, anti-codon, and T loops). Lineage: Eukaryota; Metazoa; Hemichordata; Enteropneusta; Harrimaniidae. The record is from RNAcentral.
GCUUCGGUAGUGUAGUGGUUAUCUCGUUCGCCUAACACUCGAAAGGUCCCUGGUUCGAGCCCAGUCGGAAACA